CGGCGCUGUGACCGCUAUGUCACGUGUUUCCGGUGUCAUGGCGCAGGCGGUUAAUGUCUCUGAGCUCCCCCUCCAGCAGCUGGAGGCGCUCAGGAGCCAAUUGGAGCAGGAGACCGACUUUUUAACUUCCUCCAUCCAGCAGCUGAAAC
This is a long non-coding RNA of Rhincodon typus (whale shark), 149 nucleotides long. RefSeq lists it as uncharacterized. Lineage: Eukaryota; Metazoa; Chordata; Chondrichthyes; Orectolobiformes; Rhincodontidae. The record is from RefSeq and is a predicted model, not a curated record. The transcript has 2 exons.